UUGGAGGGCAAGUCUGGUGCCAGCAGCCGCGGUAAUUCCAGCUCCAAUAGCGUAUAUUAAAGUUGUUGCAGUUAAAAAGCUCGUAGUUGAAUUUCGGGGUCAGUAGGUUGGUCGUGCCACAGGUACGUACUGGUCUCACUGAUUCCUCCUUCCUGAUGAACCGUAAUGCCAUUAAUUUGGUGUUGCGGGGAAACUGGACUGUUACUUUGAAAAAAUUAGAGUGUUUAAAGCAGGCUAACGCUUGAAUACAUUAGCAUGGAAUAAUGAAAUAGGACGUUCGAUCCUAUUUUGUUGGUUUCUAGGAUUGACGUAAUGAUUAAUAGGGAUAGUUGGGGACAUUAGUAUUCAAUUGUCAGAGGUGAAAUUCUUGGAUUUAUUGAAGACUAACUACUGCGAAAGCAUUUGCCAAGGAUGUUUUCAUUGAUCAAGAACGAAAGUUAGGGGAUCGAAGACGAUCAGAUACCGUCGUAGUCUUAACCAUAAACUAUGCCGACUAGGGAUCGGAUGAUGUUAAUUUUUUAAUGACUCAUUCGGCGCCUUACGGGAAAC
This 549-nucleotide ribosomal RNA is filed under the name uncultured Glomus. RNAcentral's name for it is "SSU rRNA". It matches the Rfam family "Eukaryotic small subunit ribosomal RNA", at positions 548 to 1098 of the family's 1831-position model. Lineage: Eukaryota; Fungi; Glomeromycota; Glomeromycetes; Glomerales; Glomeraceae. The record is from RNAcentral.